GAUCCUGGCUCAGGAUGAACGCUAGCUACAGGCUUAACACAUGCAAGUCGAGGGGAAACGAUAUUGGAAGCUUGCUUCCGAUAGGCGUCGACCGGCGCACGGGUGAGUAACGCGUAUCCAACCUGCCCAUCACUUGGGGAUAACCUUGCGAAAGUAAGACUAAUACCCAAUGGUACCUCUAGAAGACAUCUGAAAGGGAUUAAAGAUUUAUCGGCGAUGGAUGGGGAUGCGUCUGAUUAG
This 240-nucleotide ribosomal RNA is filed under the name uncultured bacterium. RNAcentral describes it as "partial 16S ribosomal RNA". It matches the Rfam family "Bacterial small subunit ribosomal RNA", at positions 15 to 244 of the family's 1533-position model. The record is from RNAcentral.